GAAAUGCGAUAAGUAAUGUGAAUUGCAGAAUUCAGUGAAUCAUCGAAUCUUUGAACGCACAUUGCGCCCGCCAGUACUCUGGCGGGCAUGCCUGUCCGAGCGUCAUUUCAACCCUCAGUUCCCCCCUUCCGGGGGGUGAGCUGGUGUUGGGGAUCGGCCGUCCCUCGCGGCGGCCGGCCCUUAAAUUCAGUGGCGGCACCACCGCGAACUCCUCUGCGUAGUAGCUAUACCUCGCAGGCGGAUAGCGGAGGCGACCAGCCGUGAAACCCCCAUCUUUUACAAGGUUGACCUCGGAUCAGGUAGGAAUACCCGCUGAACUUAA
RNAcentral lists this unclassified non-coding RNA (322 nucleotides) under uncultured Hypocreales. RNAcentral describes it as "sequence contains ITS1". The stretch from base 1 to 105 matches the Rfam family "5.8S ribosomal RNA", at positions 50 to 154 of the family's 154-position model. Lineage: Eukaryota; Fungi; Ascomycota; Sordariomycetes; Hypocreales. The record is from RNAcentral.